UACGUAGGUCCCGAGCGUUGUCCGGAUUUAUUGGGCGUAAAGCGAGCGCAGGUGGUUUAUUAAGUCUGGUGUAAAAGGCAGUGGCUCAACCAUUGUAUGCAUUGGAAACUGGUAGACUUGAGUGCAGGAGAGGAGAGUGGAAUUCCAUGUGUAGCGGUGAAAUGCGUAGAUAUAUGGAGGAACACCGGUGGCGAAAGCGGCUCUCUGGAACGGUACUGACGCUGAGACGCGAAAGCGUGGGGAGCGAACAGG
This 252-nucleotide ribosomal RNA is filed under the name uncultured bacterium. RNAcentral describes it as "partial 16S ribosomal RNA". It matches the Rfam family "Bacterial small subunit ribosomal RNA", at positions 524 to 776 of the family's 1533-position model. The record is from RNAcentral.